CAGGAAGACAGGUGGUGCAUGGUUGUCGUCAGCUCGUGUCGUGAGAUGUUGGGUUAAGUCCCGCAACGAGCGCAACCCUUAUUGUUAGUUGCUACCAUUUAUUUGAGCACUCUAGCGAGACUGCCCGGGUUAACCGGGAGGAAGGUGGGGAUGACGUCAAAUCAUCAUGCCCCUUAUGUCUAGGGCUACACACGUGCUACAAUGGCUGGUACAGAGAGAUGCUAAACCGCGAGGUGGAGCCAAACUUUAAAACCAGUCUCAGUUCGGAUUGUAGGCUGAAACUCGCCUACAUGAAGCUGGAGUUGCUAGUAAUCGCGAAUCAGAAUGUCGCGGUGAAUACGUUCCCGGGCCUUGUACACACCGCCCGUCACACCAUGAGAGUUGGCAAUACCCAAAGUUCGUGAGCUAACCCGUAAGGGAGGCAGCGACCUAAGGUAGGGUCAGCGAUUGGGGUGAAGUCGUAACAAGGUAGCCGUAGGAGAA
Molecule: ribosomal RNA, 483 nt
Filed under: uncultured bacterium
Lineage: Bacteria
Description: bacterial SSU rRNA
Rfam family: Bacterial small subunit ribosomal RNA
Source: RNAcentral